Molecule: long non-coding RNA, 621 nt
Organism: Homarus americanus (American lobster)
Lineage: Eukaryota; Metazoa; Arthropoda; Malacostraca; Decapoda; Nephropidae
Exons: 3
Source: RefSeq, a predicted model, not a curated record
UGCCGGGGUAUGUUCCCUCGUAUUUCGUGAGCAGUCCCAUGGCUCCAUAAAGCCAGUUCUCUGCUCAGCAGGGGCUCCCAGCCCCCGGUGUGAUUCAACAAUGUGAAACAAUGGUACCCUGCCUCCUUGUCCACACUCCAGAACCGAGAGCUGGGAUUAUCGCUUCACCAAUAACUGGAUGAGAUACCGUUGAAACUAAGAGAAAUGAAGGAACAAAGGGUGAGAGACGAGGGUGUUGGUGUGUGUUGCUUGUGUUGCCUACGCUGAGGAGGAGCAGACUACAGCAGACUACAGCAGGGAACAGUAGACUACAGCAGGAAGCAGCAGGAAAUAGCAGAUUACAGCAGGGAUUACCAGAUUAAAGUAGGGUACAGAAGACUACAGCAGGAAACAGCAGACUACAGCAGACUACAGCAGGAAGCAGCAACUACUACUAGAGGAAACAGUAGACUACAGAAGGAAGCAGCAACAACUACUAGAGGAAACAGUAGACAACAGCAGGAACAGAAAACUACUUCAGGAAACAACAGAGUACAGCAACAUAACAGUAAAUAAUAUUAGACAGCGGUAGAGAACAGCACAGUACUUGAUAACAGCCUCGAACAAUACCAAACAGAUGCA